GUUGGUAUAACUCAGUGGUAGAGUGUAUGCUUAGCAUGCACGAGGUCCUGGGUUCAAUCCCCAGUACCUCCA
This 72-nucleotide transfer RNA is filed under the name Camelus bactrianus (Bactrian camel). It matches the Rfam family "tRNA". Rfam says of the family: Transfer RNA (tRNA) molecules are approximately 80 nucleotides in length. Lineage: Eukaryota; Metazoa; Chordata; Mammalia; Artiodactyla; Camelidae. RNAcentral also lists the same sequence under 1 other name. The record is from Rfam by way of RNAcentral.